Molecule: ribosomal RNA, 429 nt
Filed under: Bacteroidota bacterium
Lineage: Bacteria; Pseudomonadati; Bacteroidota
Description: Bacteroidetes bacterium partial 16S ribosomal RNA
Rfam family: Bacterial small subunit ribosomal RNA
Source: RNAcentral
UAGGGAAUCUUCGGCAAUGGGGGGAACCCUGACCGAGCAACGCCGCGUGAGUGAAGAAGGUUUUCGGCUCGUAAAGCUCUGUUGUUAAGGAAGAACGAGUGUGAGAAUGGAAAGUUCAUGCUGUGACGGUACUUAACCAGAAAGGGACGGCUAACUACGUGCCAGCAGCCGCGGUAUUAUGUAGGUCCCGAGCGACGUCCGGAUUUAUUGGGCGUGAAGCGAGCGCAGGCGGUUAGAAAAGUCUGAAGUGAAAGGCAGUGGCUCAACCAUUGUAGGCUUUGGAAACUGUUUAACUUGAGUGCAGAAGGGGAGAGUGGAAUUCCAUGUGUAGCGGUGAAAUGCGUAGAUAUAUGGAAGAACACCGGUGGCGAAAGCUGCUCUCUGGUCUGUAACUGACGCUGAGGCUCGAAAGCGUGGGGAGCGAACAGG